Molecule: long non-coding RNA, 412 nt
Filed under: Erythranthe guttata (spotted monkey flower)
Lineage: Eukaryota; Viridiplantae; Streptophyta; Magnoliopsida; Lamiales; Phrymaceae
Description: long non-coding RNA (EGUT_LNC002080)
Source: RNAcentral
CUAAUUGUCCGAGUUGACUGUGGCUUCUCCGUCAACUUGUGACUAUUCAUUUUGUAAAGAAACUAAAGAGUAAACAAAUUCUUGGUUAAAUAGGUGUGCAAGAUAGUAGAGGAGGACCAGAGGUACUCCAAGAGGUAAAACGAGAGGCAGAUUAUUACUACAAUACUCAAGGUCAGUUCCGUUGCUAGUGUUCUCGAUCGAGAAAGCUGUGCUAGCGGGAGAGGAAACCGAUUGUGCUUUCCAGCAAUUAUUUAUACCAAAUAGAGUUAUACACGCCAUAAGUAGAUUAUUUCGGACUAGUAUUGGGCGCUUUGUCUAAAUUUGAUACACAUGGUUUUGUUCAUAAGGGAUAUGUGUAAUCUUGUUGAUGAACCAGAUUAAAUCCUCAGCUUGUAAACCAGGUGGUUGGAAA